This 429-nucleotide ribosomal RNA is filed under the name Bacteroidota bacterium. RNAcentral's name for it is "Bacteroidetes bacterium partial 16S ribosomal RNA". It matches the Rfam family "Bacterial small subunit ribosomal RNA", at positions 355 to 776 of the family's 1533-position model. The record is from RNAcentral. Lineage: Bacteria; Pseudomonadati; Bacteroidota.
UAGGGAAUCUUCCGCAAUGGACGCAAGUCUGACGGAGCAACGCCGCGUGAGUGAAGAAGGAUUUCGGUUCGUAAAACUCUGUUGUUAGAGAAGAACAGCGCAUAGAGUAACUGUUAUGCGUGUGACGGUAUCUAACCAGAAAGCCACGGCUAACUACGUGCCAGCAGCCGCGGUAAUACGUAGGUGGCAAGCGUUGUCCGGAUUUAUUGGGCGUAAAGCGAGCGCAGGCGGUCAAUUAAGUCAGAUGUGAAAGCCCCCGGCUCAACCGGGGAGGGUCAUGGGAAACUAGUUGACUUGAGUGCAGAAGGAGAGAGCGUAAUUCCAUGGGUAGCGGUGAAAUGCAUAGAUAUAUGGAGGAACACCGGUGGCGAAAGCGGCUCUCUGGUCUGUAACUGACGAUGAGGCUCGAAAGCGUGGGGAGCGAACAGG